Non-coding RNA from Paramuricea clavata, 214 nucleotides. The record is from the annotation of a GenBank genome assembly. Lineage: Eukaryota; Metazoa; Cnidaria; Anthozoa; Malacalcyonacea; Plexauridae.
GUUGUCUGAUUCUUUUCAAUUAGAUUAACUUCUACUACGUUAAAUUGCUGGCGAACUGAAUCAACUUUCUAUAAUAAGUCUAAUAAAUUACUAUUCUUGUCGACACAAUUACGGCACACAUUGUUAGAGAAACAACUGUUCAGAUUCAAUAAGUUUUUACAUGCACUUGUUUUGUCGAUACAUUGAACCAUUAGUCAUAGCAUAGAUUUCGGCG